GUUAAUUGAUUUUGAGAUGCUUGCAUCGAAGAGGAUUCAAUAUUAAGUGAGUGGCGAACGGGUGAGUAAACGUGGGUAACCUGCCCAGAAGUGGGGGAUAACACCUGGAAACAGAUGCUAAUACCGCAUAACAAAAUUAACCGCAUGGUUGAUUUUUAAAAGAUGGCUUCGGCUAUCACUUCUGGAUGGACCCGCGGCGUAUUAGCUAGUUGGUGAGAUAAAGGCUCACCAAGGCAGUGAUACGUAGCCGACCUGAGAGGGUAAUCGGCCACAUUGGGACUGAGACACGGCCCAGACUCCUACGGGAGGCAGCAGUAGGGAAUCUUCCACAAUGGACGCAAGUCUGAUGGAGCAACGCCGCGUGAGUGAUGAAGGCUUUCGGGUCGUAAAACUCUGUUGUUGGAGAAGAACGUGUGUGAGAGUAACUGCUCAUGCAGUGACGGUAUCCAACCAGAAAGCCACGGCUAACUACGUGCCAGCAGCCGCGGUAAUACGUAGGUGGCAAGCGUUAUCCGGAUUUAUUGGGCGUAAAGCGAGCGCAGGCGGUCUUUUAAGUCUAAUGUGAAAGCCUUCGGCUUAACCCGAAGAAGUGCAUUGGAAACUGGGAGACUUGAGUGCAGAAGAGGAGAGUGGAACUCCAUGUGUAGCGGUGAAAUGCGUAGAUAUAUGGAAGAACACCAGUGGCGAAGCGGCUCUCUGGUCUGCAACUGACGCUGAGGCUCGAAAGCAUGGGUAGCGAACAGGAUUAGAUACCUGGUAGUCAUGCCGUAACGAUGAUGCUAGUGUUGGAGGGUUUCGCCCUUCAGUGCUGCAGCUACGCAUAGCAUCCGCCUGGGGGGAGUACGACCCGCAAGGUUGAACUUCUAAAAAGAA
RNAcentral lists this ribosomal RNA (873 nucleotides) under Pediococcus ethanolidurans. RNAcentral's name for it is "bacterial SSU rRNA". It matches the Rfam family "Bacterial small subunit ribosomal RNA", at positions 61 to 909 of the family's 1533-position model. The record is from RNAcentral. Lineage: Bacteria; Bacillati; Bacillota; Bacilli; Lactobacillales; Lactobacillaceae.